This is a long non-coding RNA of Cygnus olor (mute swan), 1628 nucleotides long. RefSeq lists it as uncharacterized. The record is from RefSeq and is a predicted model, not a curated record. NCBI's taxonomy places the organism in Eukaryota, Metazoa, Chordata, Aves, Anseriformes, Anatidae. The transcript has 9 exons.
CUGGACACACACGUGUCUUCCUUGGGAGACCAGACUGCUAAGUGAUGUGGUAGAGUUUCCUGACUCUUCUCCUGCAUAGAGCUUUAUUUAGCUAUCUGCACCACGGAGCUUGCACGAUACUAUUGUGUCGCUUGAUUUUUCCAAGUGCCGACUCCCAGCUGGCUGACAGCAAGAAGCUCCUUCAGAUGGCAGCAGAAAGGCCUGCUUAUUCUGCAAAGCUCGUUGCUGCUUGGUGGGACAGCAGGAGGACUUCUCCGUGCCUUUUCAGAUGGCAGCUCAGCGCUGCAGCACCUCAAUCGUCCCAGACAAGUCAGGGCAGGGCAGCCGUGCCCCAGCCGCGGUUUGCAGCGCAGGAUGGAUGAGCUUUCCUUUGAACUGCUGAACUACAAAUUCCCCUCCUGGCGAAGCAACCGUGGCGGGUGGGAUGAGGGGAAAGAAAGAGUUGCUCAGCGAAUAACGUACCGGUAUGCCUGUGUCUGGAGGAGAUGGAGGGCAGUUUUCAAAUUUCAUCCACAUGAUGGAUGUGGAAGGGAAGCCAUGGGAUAAGAGGACACCCGAACAGAAACAAGCUGCCUUUUUGUUGUUAAUAGCCAGGAAGUCUCUGCGGUGCAGAUGUGACAGCAACAGCAAAACCUAUUUUGAGGUCCUGUCCCAUGAAGUAGCUAAGCAGGGUGCUGAAGUGAAGUGGCUGCAAGGUUGCCAGAAGUACCAGUGUAUUCGUGGGGUCAUCCAAACAUGCAUUCAAAUUAUAAGUAGUGUAAGACUGCAAGGGAUUUCCUGGCCCCAAAGGAUGUAGGGUCUUUCUCAGCAGGAAGUGUCUUGCAUGUUUUCUGGUUUGAUGGAAAUUCUGAGGACCACUGUAAUGCAAAUAAAGUGAAGCAACAUUUGGUCCAUGUUAUGGCAAGAAGAGAUUGAAAAUGAAAGGGAAGAUGUUAUGCUGGGGAGAACUUCAGCAAGCGUCAGAUGAAGUUAUUGUCCAGGCUGGCUGUUAGCCUACUUGCUGCCAGCCCCGUUGGAGUCUGCCUUAUGAAAUGCCACUUCCAGCGAAGUCAGAACCUGCCUGUGAGCACUGCAGGGAUUGAAAUGACAGAGCAGUGAGAUGAGCUGCUCUUCCUAGGAAUCACUGAAGCACACAGCCUCCUUUUAAAGUGACUACAAAUUGAUCCUUAAUAGUUUCAUCUACCAUAUAAACUUGCUGGAUCGCAUUUUUACUGGAACCAAAUGGCAUGUGAAACUUCUGAUUUUCUGAGGCCCUUGAGUGAUGGAGCUGGUGACGUGAAGGCCACUUCUUGCAGCACUGACUAUAAACACAGGCAUCCUAGGAGGGGAGCCCAUUGCCUUUUGUCCGUUGAGCCUGGCCAUUCCCACUGAAGCCUGAUUUCAUGUGAGAUUGUGGAGUACAUCAAAGCAGAAGGAUAACAAAUGAAAUGAAUUGUUCUCCUGAGAGCCUGGCUUGCUGUUUCAAAAAAUUUGUUCAGCCUUCCACUAUCAGCAUGCCAGUGUGAGAUGAAAUUUGAAGACGUGGAAAUUCACGACAUGUAACAACAAUGUGUCUUGGGAGUGCUUUUUUUUUUGCCCUUUUUUUUUUUUUCUUCCUAUGUUCUUUAUGAUUGUUUUCUUCUUGUAGU